This 828-nucleotide ribosomal RNA is filed under the name uncultured bacterium. RNAcentral's name for it is "bacterial SSU rRNA". It matches the Rfam family "Bacterial small subunit ribosomal RNA", at positions 673 to 1501 of the family's 1533-position model. The record is from RNAcentral.
GUGUAGCGGUGAAUGCGCAGAUAUCAGGAGGAACACCGGUGGCGAAGGCGGGUCUCUGGGCCGAUACUGACGCUGAGGAGCGAAAGCGUGGGGAGCGAACAGGAUUAGAUACCCUGGUAGUCCACGCCGUAAACGUUGGGCGCUAGGUGUGGGGGACCUUCCACGUCCUCUGUGCCGCAGCUAACACAUUAAGCGCCCCGCCUGGGGAGUACGGCCGCAAGGCUAAAACUCAAAGGAAUUGACGGGGGCCCGCACAAGCGGCGGAGCAUGUGGCUUAAUUCGAUGCGACGCGAAGAACCUUACCAAGGCUUGACAUGAAUGGAAAUCUCACAGAGAUGUGAGGUCCGCAAGGGUCAUUCACAGGUGGUGCAUGGUUGUCGUCAGCUCGUGUCGUGAGAUGUUGGGUUAAGUCCCGCAACGAGCGCAACCCUCGUCCUAUGUUGCCAGCACGUCAUGGUGGGGACUCAUAGGAGACUGCCGGGGUCAACUCGGAGGAAGGUGGGGAUGACGUCAAAUCAUCAUGCCCCUUAUGUCUUGGGCUGCACACAUGCUACAAUGGCCGGUACAAAGGGCUGCGAUACCGCAAGGUGGAGCGAAUCCCAAAAAGCCGGUCUCAGUUCGGAUCGGGGUCUGCAACUCGACCCCGUGAAGUCGGAGUCGCUAGUAAUCGCAGAUCAGCAACGCUGCGGUGAAUACGUUCCCGGGCCUUGUACACACCGCCCGUCACGUCACGAAAGUCGGUAACACCCGAAGCCGGUGGCCCAACCUUUGGGAGGGAGCCGUCGAAGGUGGGACUGGCGAUUGGGACGAAGUCGUAACAAGGUAACC